GCGAUGAACCAGGCCGCCGCGGCUUAUAACGGCUCUGUUUCGUUCAUAAGCUGAGGAAAGUCCGGGCUCCGCAGGGCAUGAUGCCGGGUAACUCCCGGGCGGUCCUUCCUCAAGGGGGGGCCGACAGCAAGCGCAGCAGAAAGCAUACAGCCCCGGGGCGGUUCCGAAAGGGACGGUCCCGGCGGUAAUGGUGAAAGGGCAGGGUAAGAGCCUACCGCGGAACCGGUAACGGUUCCGGCACGGCAAGCCUCAUCAGGAGCAAAGUCAAGCAGCGUCGCCGGGGGUUAUCCCUUGGCAUGGGGAUUGGGCUCCGGUCCGGUCUCCGGCGGCGGCCCGCCGCUUAGACGCGGGUAGACUGCACGGAAACGGCCGGCAACGGCCGUUCCAGACAGAUGGCGGCAGUACGGCCUCUAACCGCAGGGUUAUGGGCCGUAUUACAGAACCCGGCUUAUGGUUCAUCGCUUUU
RNAcentral lists this RNase P RNA (466 nucleotides) under Treponema sp. RNAcentral's name for it is "RNase P RNA component class A". It matches the Rfam family "Bacterial RNase P class A". Rfam says of the family: Ribonuclease P (RNase P) is a ubiquitous endoribonuclease, found in archaea, bacteria and eukarya as well as chloroplasts and mitochondria. Its best characterised activity is the generation of mature 5'-ends of tRNAs by cleaving the 5'-leader elements of precursor-tRNAs. The record is from RNAcentral. Lineage: Bacteria; Pseudomonadati; Spirochaetota; Spirochaetia; Treponematales; Treponemataceae.